RNAcentral lists this ribosomal RNA (446 nucleotides) under uncultured bacterium. Its description in RNAcentral is "partial 16S ribosomal RNA". It matches the Rfam family "Bacterial small subunit ribosomal RNA", at positions 338 to 795 of the family's 1533-position model. The record is from RNAcentral.
CCUACGGGUGGCAGCAGUCGAGAAUCAUGCACAAUGGGGGAAACCCUGAUGGAGCGACGCCGCGUGGGGGAAUGAAGGUCUGCGGAUGGUAAACCCCUGUCAUGUGGGAGCAAAUUAAAAAGAUAGUACCACAAGAGGAAGAGACGGCUAACUCUGUGCCAGCAGCCGCGGUAAUACAGAGGUCUCAAGCGUUGUUCGGAAUCACUGGGCGUAAAGCGUGCGUAGGCGGUUUCGUAAGUCGUGGGUGAAAGGCGCGGGCUCAACCCGCGGACGGCACCUGAUACUGCGAGACUAGAGUCAUGGAGUGGGAACCGGAAUUCUCGGUGUAGCCGUGAAAUGCGUAGAUAUCGAGAGGAACACUCGUGGCGAAGGCGGCUUCCUGGACAUUAACUGACGCUGAGGCACGAAGGCCAGGGGAGCGAAAAGGAUUAGAUACCCCUGUAGUC